RNAcentral lists this ribosomal RNA (464 nucleotides) under uncultured bacterium. Its description in RNAcentral is "bacterial SSU rRNA". It matches the Rfam family "Bacterial small subunit ribosomal RNA", at positions 338 to 795 of the family's 1533-position model. The record is from RNAcentral.
CCUACGGGUUGCAGCAGUGGGGAAUAUUGCACAAUGGGCGCAAGCCUGAUGCAGCCAUGCCGCGUGUAUGAAGAAGGCCUUCGGGUUGUAAAGUACUUUCAGCGGGGAGGAAGGCGAUAAGGUUAAUAACCUUGUCGAUUGACGUAUCCGCAGAAGAAGCACCGGCUAACUCCGUGCCAGCAGCCGCGGUAAUACGGAGGGUGCAAGCGUUAAUCGGAAUUACUGGGCGUAAAGCGCACGCAGGCGGUCUGUCAAGUCGGAUGUGAAAUCCCCGGGCUCAACCUGGGAACUGCAUUCGAAACUGGCAGGCUAGAGUCUUGUAGAGGGGGGUAGAAUUCCAGGUGUAGCGGUGAAAUGCGUAGAGAUCUGGAGGAAUACCGGUGGCGAAGGCGGCCCCCUGGACAAAGACUGACGCUCAGGUGCGAAAGCGUGGGGAGCAAACAGGAUUAGAUACCCCGGUAGUC